ACGCUCGACACCUACGGAGGCAGCAGUGGGGAAUAUUGCACAAUGGGGGAAACCCUGAUGCAGCGACGCCGCGUGAGCGAAGAAGUAUUUCGGUAUGUAAAGCUCUAUCAGCAGGGAAGAAACUGACGGUACCUGACUAAGAAGCACCGGCUAAAUACGUGCCAACAGCCGCGGUAAUCUGAGCGGGCUGGCAAGGC
RNAcentral lists this ribosomal RNA (197 nucleotides) under uncultured bacterium. RNAcentral's name for it is "partial 16S ribosomal RNA". It matches the Rfam family "Bacterial small subunit ribosomal RNA", at positions 328 to 539 of the family's 1533-position model. The record is from RNAcentral.